This 497-nucleotide ribosomal RNA is filed under the name uncultured bacterium. RNAcentral describes it as "partial 16S ribosomal RNA". It matches the Rfam family "Bacterial small subunit ribosomal RNA", at positions 28 to 507 of the family's 1533-position model. The record is from RNAcentral.
GAUGAACGCUGGCGGCGUGCCUAAUACAUGCAAGUCGAGCGAACAGACGAGGAGCUUGCUCCUCUGACGUUAGCGGCGGACGGGUGAGUAACACGUGGAUAACCUACCUAUAAGACUGGGAUAACUUCGGGACACCGGAGCUAAUACCGGAUAAUAUAUUGAACCGCAUGGUUCAAUAGUGAAAGACGGUUUUGCUGCCACUUAUAGAUGGAUCCGCGCCGCAUUAGCUAGUUGGUAAGGUAACGGCUUACCAAGGCAACGAUGCGUAGCCGACCUGAGAGGGUGAUCGGCCACACUGGAACUGAGACACGGUCCAGACUCCUACGGGAGGCAGCAGUAGGGAAUCUUCCGCAAUGGGCGAAAGCCUGACGGAGCAACGCCGCGUGAGUGAUGAAGGUCUUCGGAUCGUAAAACUCUGUUAUUAGGGAAGAACAAAUGUGUAAGUAACUAUGCACGUCUUGACGGUACCUAAUCAGAAAGCCACGGCUAACUACGUG